UCAUAAUAGAAUAUGCAAAAUCUUCAUAUCAAGUCAUUGAAGAAAGAAAAAAAAAUAACCGUUGUAUCGAUCAAAUGAGAAAAAUGAUUACAACAUUAAUAAAAUAAGGUUCAAGUUGGAAAUAAACAAAUACAAAUAAACCUAAACAAACCUAAGCACAUGUUCUCAAUGGUCCAUUCAAAAACGCUAAAAAAAA
Cicer arietinum (chickpea) is the source of this 196-nucleotide non-coding RNA. The record is from RefSeq and is a predicted model, not a curated record. NCBI's taxonomy places the organism in Eukaryota, Viridiplantae, Streptophyta, Magnoliopsida, Fabales, Fabaceae.